Molecule: ribosomal RNA, 397 nt
Filed under: uncultured Jaminaea
Lineage: Eukaryota; Fungi; Basidiomycota; Exobasidiomycetes; Microstromatales
Description: partial small subunit ribosomal RNA
Rfam family: Eukaryotic small subunit ribosomal RNA
Source: RNAcentral
GCUUGUCUCAAAGAUUAAGCCAUGCAUGUCUAAGUAUAAGCAAAUUUGUACUGUGAAACUGCGAAUGGCUCAUUAAAUCAGUUAUAGUUUAUUUGAUGGUCCUUACUACAUGGAUAACUGUGGUAAUUCUAGAGCUAAUACAUGCUUAAAAGCCCCGACGCAAGAAGGGGUGUAUUUAUUAGAUAAAAACCAACACCUUCGGGUACUUUGGUGAAUCAUAAUAACUUCUCGAAUCGCAUGGCCUUGUGCCGGCGAUGCUUCAUUCAAAUAUCUGCCCUAUCAACUGUCGAUGGUAGGAUAGAGGCCUACCAUGGUUGCAACGGGUAACGGGGAAUAAGGGUUCGAUUCCGGAGAGGGAGCCUGAGAAACGGCUACCACAUCCAAGGAAGGCAGCAGG